Long non-coding RNA from Oncorhynchus tshawytscha (Chinook salmon), 1013 nucleotides. The record is from Ensembl. NCBI's taxonomy places the organism in Eukaryota, Metazoa, Chordata, Actinopteri, Salmoniformes, Salmonidae.
UGCCUGUGAGCCUUCUGUCCACCUCUAUGGUGGACUGCCUGUGAGCCUUCUGUCCACCUCUAUGGUGGGAGAACAAAGUGCUGCUGGAUAUAUAUGACACAGUCCCCUUUAAAAACAUAUUUGUGUUUUUCACCCUGGGUUUACCUGAGACAGGAAGUAAAGUUGUUUUUAAAUUCUCUACUGGCCCUGGUGUAUUCCAUAUACAUUGCACGGGGGGUGGGGGGGAGACAAUGGAGGGGGGCAGAACACGAAGUGCUGCUGGAUAUAUACGACACAGUCCCUCUCAAAAACGAAACAUAUUUGCUUAGUAGAGACCUUAAUGAAUUAUUUCCAACCCACUUUAACUGAGGAGACAGGGUCCUACAGACAGGGGCCUACAGACAGGGGCCUACAGACAGGGGCCUACAGACAGGGGCCUACAGACAGGGGCCUACAGUCAGGGGCCUACAGAAGGGGCCUACAGUCAGGGGCCUACAGUCAGGGGCCUACAGUCAGGGCCUACAGAAGGGGCCUACAAACAGGGGCCUACAGACAGGGGCCUACAGACAGGGCCUACAGACAGGGGCCUACAGACAGGGCCUACAAACAGGGGCCUACAGACAGGGGCCUACAGACAGGGCCUACAGACAGGGGCCUACAGACAGGGGCCUACAGACAGGGGCCUACAGACAGGGGCCUACAGACAGGGCCUACAAACAGGGGCCUACAGACAGGCCCUACAGACAAGGUCCUACAGACAGGUCCUGCAGCCCAAUAUUUCAACAUUGUAUUUUUCAAUAUUGGUCCUAAAAAGUUGUCUUUGAAGCAAUUUUUUUCCAUAAGUAACUUAUUGCAUUUUCUUAUUAGCACAAUAAAGGUGGCCAUUGAUUAAAAUGGAAUCUUUUGAAUCAGUUAUUGAUGUUGAAAUUCAGGCUUUUAUGUUGAAGUUUUUUUAAUAGAAAUGUUUUUUGUUUUUUUUGUGAAAUAAGGUGUCAAGAAUGUGUAUUUUAAUUGACCUGCCUGAUAAAGUUAAG